GAUGAACGCUGGCGGCGUGCUUAACACAUGCAAGUCGAACGGUGAACACGGAGCUUGCUCUGUGGGAUCAGUGGCGAACGGGUGAGUAACACGUGAGCAACCUGCCCCUGACUCUGGGAUAAGCGCUGGAAACGGCGUCUAAUACUGGAUAUGUGACGUGACCGCAUGGUCUGCGUUUGGAAAGAUUUUUCGGUUGGGGAUGGGCUCGCGGCCUAUCAGCUUGUUGGUGAGGUAAUGGCUCACCAAGGCGUCGACGGGUAGCCGGCCUGAGAGGGUGACCGGCCACACUGGGAUUGAGACACGGCCCAGACUCCUACGGGAGGCAGCAGUGGGGAAUAUUGCACAAUGGGCGAAAGCCUGACGCAGCAACGCCGCGUGAGGGAUGACGGCCUUCGGGUUGUAAACCUUUUUUAGCAGGGAAGAAGCGAAAGUGACGGUACCUGCAGAAAAAGCGCCGGCUAACUACGUG
This 469-nucleotide ribosomal RNA is filed under the name uncultured bacterium. Its description in RNAcentral is "partial 16S ribosomal RNA". It matches the Rfam family "Bacterial small subunit ribosomal RNA", at positions 28 to 507 of the family's 1533-position model. The record is from RNAcentral.